This 497-nucleotide ribosomal RNA is filed under the name uncultured bacterium. RNAcentral's name for it is "partial 16S ribosomal RNA". It matches the Rfam family "Bacterial small subunit ribosomal RNA", at positions 28 to 507 of the family's 1533-position model. The record is from RNAcentral.
GAUGAACGCUGGCGGCGUGCCUAAUACAUGCAAGUCGAGCGAACAGACGAGGAGCUUGCUCCUCUGAUGUUAGCGGCGGACGGGUGAGUAACACGUGGAUAACCUACCUAUAAGACUGGGAUAACUUCGGGAAACCGGAGCUAAUACCGGAUAAUAUUUUGAACCGCAUGGUUCAAUAGUGAAAGACGGUUUUGCUGUCACUUAUAGAUGGAUCCGCGCUGCAUUAGCUAGUUGGUAAGGUAACGGCUUACCAAGGCAACGAUGCGUAGCCGACCUGAGAGGGUGAUCGGCCACACUGGAACUGAGACACGGUCCAGACUCCUACGGGAGGCAGCAGUAGGGAAUCUUCCGCAAAGGGCGAAAGCCUGACGGAGCAACGCCGCGUGAGUGAUGAAGGUCUUCGGAUCGUAAAACUCUGUUAUUAGGGAAGAACAUAUGUGUAAGUAACUAUGCACAUCUUGACGGUACCUAAUCAGAAAGCCACGGCUAACUACGUG